AGCGAACGCUGGCGGCAGGCCUAACACAUGCAAGUCGAACGAAGUCUUCGGACUUAGUGGCGGACGGGUGCGUAACGCGUAUGCAACCUACCUUAAUCAGGGGGAUAGCCCGAAGAAAUUCGGAUUAACACCGCAUAAAAACACAGGAUAGCAUUAUCCAAUGUUCAAAUAUUUAUAGGAUUAAGAUGGGCAUGCGUGUC
This 200-nucleotide ribosomal RNA is filed under the name uncultured bacterium. RNAcentral's name for it is "partial 16S ribosomal RNA". It matches the Rfam family "Bacterial small subunit ribosomal RNA", at positions 29 to 239 of the family's 1533-position model. The record is from RNAcentral.